GGGGAGACUGUAUGGGGGGUGCAAGGGGCAGGGGACCCCAGGGGAGACUGUGGGGGAAGAGCAGGCCCCACAGCAGGUGGGGCUGCAAGAGGCUAUCCAUGUGGGGUGUGGCCCCUUCCUGCAGGGGGAAGAGCUGCUUCCUCAGUGGGGCUGGGCUCAAGGGCAUGUUUCCUCACCACACACAUUGGGGAGCAGCACUGGCGGAGGGCAGAGAGAUGCUGUGGGCGUUCCCUAUACUGAGGUGUAGGGCUGGUAGGAAGGGCAGGAAGAUGUGAGGCAGCUGUGCUAGAGCCCCACCCUGGGCUUGAAACCCCUGUCUUGUCCCACCCUGCCCCCACAGCACAGCAAGUGGGUGGCAUUUAUGGUUUUGAUUCUCGGACUGAUUCAUUCAUUUCAAAGCCAGCAGUCAGGGAGCCUGGACAUCUGGGUUCUUUCUGGGCUUUGGGGAGCAGUGAGGCCUGGUGGGUUGGAGUUGGGGGUGAAGGGAGCCAAAGCCCUUUUGUGGUUGGUUUCAUCACCUGGGAAAGCUGCUCUGUUAGUAAUGGAUUCUUGUUUGCUGCCAGGGACCUCUUCUGAUCAGAUACUUCACACAGGAGACAUCCUGCUCAAGGGGUUCAUCCGGGAGCGAGUCCAGCGCUGUGGGGACUCGCAGGCGGUAGAGCUGGGCCGGGAGGUCCUGGGGGGCCCUGAGGCUUCACUCUGCAGCAAUGACACCAAGCGCCUCAGCGAGUGCCUGCGGCGCAUCGGGGAUGAGCUGGACAGCAACACAGACCUGCAGAGGAUGAUCGAGCAGGUGGGCUCACAGCCCCCCAAGGAGGUCUUCUUCCGUGUGGCCACCGAGAUGUUCUCCGAUGGGACCUUCAACUGGGGUCGGGUCGUGGCCCUCUUCUACUUCGCCUGCAAGCUGGUCCUCAAGUCUUGCCAGGCCCCCGCUGCCCCUGACGCGUGUCUCUCUGCCAGGCGCUGUGCACGAAGGUCCCUGAGCUGGUGCGCACCAUCCUAGGCUGGACCAUGGAGUACCUGCGCGAGCAUGUUUUGGUCUGGAUUCAGGCCCAGGGCGGCUGGGAAGGCCUGCUCUCCACCUUGGGCACUCCCACCUGGCAGACCAUCACCAUCUUCGCUGCUGGCGUCCUCACCGCCUCGCUCACCAUCUGGAAGAUGUCCUAGACCCCGGGGCCGGCUGGUCCCUUCCCCUGCCCUGCUCCAGCUGGGCUGCGCUGGCUGGGGUGCCUGGGGCCUGGCCGCUCCUCACAGUGGACUCAGGGGGUGAAUACUUUUGCAAUACUCAUCUUCAAGCGGGAUUUUUUUUAAACCCCUCCUUUCACCCCCUCCUGGUGCCUUUUUUUUGGUUCAUUUUUUUUUUAAUACGGAGACUUUCGGGGAACAUGUACUUUGGUUUCUCCUUUGGAUCCCCACCCCGCCAUCCAUCCCCGAUGUGCCUGGCUCUGGGGUGGAGUGCUGCUGGCUCGUGAGACAGAAUGAGCAGUCCAGCCAAGACUCUAUCCCACCCGGGAGGUCUGCUCCUCACAGAGAUGGCAUCACAUGGACCCAGAACUGCUUGUGUGGGAGGCCUCCUGCUGCCCUCCCCAUCCCGCCCUGAAGCCCAGCCGGCAUCAUGGGGUUGCCCCAGCAUUUGACAACUCUCCCCCCACCCUAAGCAGUGCAUUGGGGAUUUGCAGGCUGGCUCCAGACCUGGUGUUUGGGGGGUGCAGCAUGGUGGGGGAGGGAUUCGUGGGGUUUACUCUGCCUUUCCCCCCCACCCAGACAAUCUUGGGUGCCUUCUGCCCCACCAUCACUGUGAAUUGCCUGCUGGAAGAGAGAUCUUAUGCCUCCCAUGCAGGGGAUGAACCCCCACCCCUGGCUAGCAUCAUCAGCUCCCCCUGCUUGUGAGGGGCAUAGCUUCUUCCCUGCUUUUGUGGAGGGGGUCAUUCAACCCCUCCACCAGCAUCUGGGCACCCCUACUCUGAGCCAUGUACUGUAAUAGGGGGCUGGGGUGACCCCUUUGCCCCUGGGUGGGGGUCACCAGGUCCCCCUGCACCUUCCUCCUCUGACUGUAUUACUACUGUGUGUUCUCAGGGGAUAGGGGCAGAUCAUAUGACAGCCCCUUCCCUACCCCCAAAUUUCCUCAGUGGUCUCAGCCACAGGGCCUUGUGUCUGAGGGGGGUGGGGGGGAAGCUCUGUCCCCAAGCAGCCCCAUUCUUGAUGUGGCAAUGGGGUGGGCCGUGGCUGGUGCUAAGAAGGGUUGUCAGGGGCUGAAGUGAUGCCCCAUAGUCUCCCCCACCCCCUGAGAGGUGGGAAGGGGUAUCAGAAGGGAUCCCCUGCUAGCAGGGCUUACUGGCACUGGGGGGAUCCCUAACUCAGGGAUCAAGGGGGCUCAGUGGGGGUGGGAGCAGGGAUCCAGUGGGUCUGCCAAUGAAUUUAAUAACUCUUGGGUGGAUCUGUACUUCAGUGUGGGGGAGAGGGUGGACAUAGGGAGUGUGUGAUGUCAUGGGCAUGGGAGACGAUGUCACACCAAGCUGGCAUGAGUAUGUGAUGUCACGGGUGCAGGGAGGUGGUGUCACACAGAAAGGGGGGAGUCUGAUGUCACAGGUGCAGGGGAAGCGAUGUCAUGGAUAGGGGAAGAGCAGUGCUGUCAUGGGUAGGCAGGAUAGCUGCUUUUGGGAAGGGCAUGCUGGUGACAGUGGGAGGAAAUGCUGUCAUAAAGCAGUUUUGCACCCACCCUGAUCCUUGCCCCUUCCCCCCGCUUUGUGCCUGGUGCCCUACCUGGGGGGCUGAAGGAGGGGGUGGGGGGCAGUGAGAGACCUGGGCUCCCCAGCCCCAUGGAUGUGCCAGGCACCUCCACCUGGGCAUGGCCUUGCUGGGCACUUUGUAACGGUUGGGGCCGAGGGAAAAGGGAGCUUGAAAAUAAACCCACUGGACCCAA
Alligator sinensis (Chinese alligator) is the source of this 2923-nucleotide RNA transcript. It is a transcript of the gene named BCL2 associated X, apoptosis regulator, with no coding region annotated. The record is from RefSeq and is a predicted model, not a curated record. Lineage: Eukaryota; Metazoa; Chordata; Crocodylia; Alligatoridae. The transcript is spliced from 5 exons.